This 819-nucleotide ribosomal RNA is filed under the name uncultured bacterium. RNAcentral describes it as "bacterial SSU rRNA". It matches the Rfam family "Bacterial small subunit ribosomal RNA", at positions 51 to 865 of the family's 1533-position model. The record is from RNAcentral.
ACACAUGCAGUCGAACGGUAACAGGGACUUCGGUCCGCUGACGAGUGGCGCACGGGUGAGUAACGCGUGGGUUACCUGCCCAUAAGUGGGGAACAACUUGGAGAAAUCCAAGCUAAUACCGCAUAAUACCUUCGGGUUAAAGAGGGGGAUCUUCGGACCUCUCGCUUAUGGAUGGUCCCGCGUCUGAUUAGCUAGUUGGUAGGGUAAUGGCCUACCAAGGCAAUGAUCAGUAGCUGGUCUGAGAGGAUGAUCAGUCACACUGGAACUGAGACACGGUCCAGACUCCUACGGGAGGCAGCAGUGGGGAAUUUUGCACAAUGGGCGAAAGCCUGAUGCAGCGACGCCGCGUGCGGGAAGAAGGCCUUCGGGUUGUAAACCGCUUUCAACAGGGAAGAAGGAAUGAGAGCUAAUACCUCUCUGCCUUGACGGUACCUGUAGAAGAAGCACCGGCUAAUUUCGUGCCAGCAGCCGCGGUAAUACGAAAGGUGCAAGCGUUGUUCGGAUUUACUGGGCGUAAAGAGAUCGUAGGUGGCUUGUUAAGUCGGAUGUGAAAUCCCGGGGCUCAACCCCGGAACUGCAUCCGAUACUGGCAGGCUUGAGUUUGGGAGGGGUAAGCGGAAUUCCGUGUGUAGCAGUGAAAUGCGUAGAUAUACGGAGGAACACCUGAGGCGAAAGCGGCUUACUGGACCAAUACUGACACUGAGGAUCGAAAGCGUGGGUAGCAAACAGGAUUAGAUACCCUGGUAGUCCACGCCCUAAACGAUGUCAACUAGCCGUUGCGGGUAUCGACCCCUGCAGUGGCGCAGCUACGCGAUAAGU